AUGAAGCGAGAAGUCGACGCGCCGUUUUUCGGCGUCCGGCCCUCCGCAAGCGCCCGCGGGAGUAUGGGUUCCGGACCUGGUCCGAUCCCGUUCCCUCCGUGGGGCUGUUUGCGAUCUGGAGGUGUCCUCGGACGGCGUCGUUUUUCUCCAGUCCGCGACGCUACGGCUUGGAUGGCCUACCCGACCCGUCUUGAAACACGGACCAAGGAGUCUAACAUGCGCGCGAGUCGUUGGGUCGGACGCGCUCCGCUAAACCCAUAGGCGAAAUGAAAGUGAAGGCCCCUUCUGGGUGCCGAGGGAGGACGGAGCGGGUCCCCUCGCGGGACGGCUCCCGCACUCCCGGGGCGUCUAAUUCCUCAUUGCGAGGGAAGGCGCACCCAGAGCGCACACGUUGGGACCCGAAAGAUGGUGAACUAUGCCUGGCCAGGACGAAGUCAGGGGAAACCCUGAUGGAGGUCCGUAGCGAUUCUGACGUGCAAAUCGAUCGUCGGAGCUGGGGAUAGGGGCGAAAGACUAAUCGAACCAUCUAGUAGCUGGUUCCCUCCGAAGUUUCCCUCAGGAUAGCUUGCGCUCGGAGAAGAGUCUCAUCCGGUAAAGCGAAUGAUUAGAGGCCUUGGGGCCGAAACGGCUUCAACCUAUUCUCAAACUUUAAAUGGGUGAGAACUCCGGCUUGCUCGAUUUAAUGAAGCCGGAGUCGGGGCCACGAGCCCCCAGGAUCGGAGUGCAUAGUGGGCCACUUUUGGUAAGCAGAACUGGCGCUGUGGGAUGAACCAAACGACGGGUUAAGGCGCCCGAAUCGACGCUCAUGGGAAACCAUGAAAGGUGUUGGUUGCUUAAGACAGCAGGACGGUGGCCAUGGAAGUCGGAAUCCGCUAAGGAGUGUGUAACAACUCACCUGCCGAAGCAACUAGCCCUGAAAAUGGAUGGCGCUGAAGCGUCGUGCCUAUACCCGGCCGUCGCGGCAGGGCGGGCCCCGUGAGGGGUGCCGCUUGAUGCGGCGACGAGUAGGAGGGUCGCGGCGGCGUGCGCAGAAGGGUCUGGGCUCGAGCCUACCUGGAGCCGCCGCCGGUGCAGAUCUUGGUGGUAGUAGCAAAUACUCCAGCGAGGCCCUGGAGGACUGAUGUGGAGAAGGGUUUCGUGUGAACAGCCGUUGCACACGAGUCAGUCGAUCCUAAGCCCUAGGAGAAAUCCGAUACUAACGGCGAUGGGACGAACGAAAUUUCACGAGAAAACAGCCCAUUGAUCGGGCGAAAGGGAAUCCGGUUCCUAUUCCGGAACCCGGCAGCGGAACCGCUGUUUGUCGGGCCCUCACAAGGGGUUCGUCAGGGUAACCUAAAAGGGCCCGGAGACGCCGUCGGGAGCCCCGGAAAGAGUUUUCUUUUCUGCAUGAGCGUUCGAGUUCCCUG
This 1406-nucleotide ribosomal RNA is filed under the name Megalestes sp. BOLD:ACG0487. RNAcentral's name for it is "eukaryotic LSU rRNA". It matches the Rfam family "Eukaryotic large subunit ribosomal RNA", at positions 574 to 1722 of the family's 3401-position model. Lineage: Eukaryota; Metazoa; Arthropoda; Insecta; Odonata; Synlestidae. The record is from RNAcentral.